RNAcentral lists this ribosomal RNA (225 nucleotides) under uncultured bacterium. RNAcentral describes it as "partial 16S ribosomal RNA". It matches the Rfam family "Bacterial small subunit ribosomal RNA", at positions 32 to 267 of the family's 1533-position model. The record is from RNAcentral.
AAUCAACGCUGGCGGCGUGCCUAACACAUGCAAGUCGCACGAGAAAGGGGAGCAAUCCCUGAGUAAAGUGGCGCACGGGUGAGUAACACGUGAAUCAUCUACCUCCGAGUGGGGAAUAACUGAGAGAAAUCUUAGCUAAUACCGCAUAACACUUACGAGUCAAAGCAGCAAUGCGCUUGGAGAGGAGUUCGCGGCCGAUUAGUUAGUUGGCGGGGUAAUGGCCCA